This 374-nucleotide ribosomal RNA is filed under the name uncultured bacterium. Its description in RNAcentral is "bacterial SSU rRNA". It matches the Rfam family "Bacterial small subunit ribosomal RNA", at positions 30 to 404 of the family's 1533-position model. The record is from RNAcentral.
AUUGAACGCUGGCGGCAUGCCUUACACAUGCAAGUCGAACGGCAGCACGGGAGCAAUCCUGGUGGCGAGUGGCGAACGGGUGAGUAAUAUAUCGGAACGUGCCCAGUAGUGGGGGAUAGCCCGGCGAAAGCCGGAUUAAUACCGCAUACGACCUGUGGGUGAAAGCGGGGGAUCGCAAGACCUCGCGCUAUUGGAGCGGCCGAUAUCAGAUUAGCUAGUUGGUGGGGUAAAGGCCUACCAAGGCGACGAUCUGUAGCUGGUCUGAGAGGACGACCAGCCACACUGGGACUGAGACACGGCCCAGACUCCUACGGGAGGCAGCAGUGGGGAAUUUUGGACAAUGGGCGCAAGCCUGAUCCAGCCAUGCCGCGUGU